UCCGGUUUGUCACCGGCGGUCCCCUUAGAGUUCCCAACUGAAUGCUGGCAACUAAGGGCAAGGGUUGCGCUCGUUGCGGGACUUAACCCAACAUCUCACGACACGAGCUGACGACAGCCAUGCAGCACCUGUCUCCAGGUUCCCGAAGGCACCCCCACAUCUCUGCGGGGUUCCUGGGAUGUCAAGCCCUGGUAAGGUUCUUCGCUUAGCAUCGAAUUAAACCACACGCUCCACCGCUUGUGCGGACUCCCGUCUAUUCCUUUGAGUUUUAAGCUUGCGCUCGUACUACCCAGGCGGAAUGCUUAAUGCGUUAGCUGCGCCACCGAAGAGCAAGCUCCCCAACGGCUGGCAUUCAUCGUUUACGGCGUGGACUAC
This 375-nucleotide unclassified non-coding RNA is filed under the name uncultured bacterium. Its description in RNAcentral is "contains 16S-23S intergenic spacer region". The record is from RNAcentral.